CGAGUCUUAAAGCUGUUUUACUGCCUAAUGGCAAUGUUUUGCCAUCAAUUCCAGUUGGUCAUGUAGUCCAUAUGAAGGAAACCUAUGACAACAUGAAACAACUUUUGAGGUACAUAAACUAUGACCAACAUCAGUGGCAGCUUUGUGGUGAUCUGAAGGUUGUUGCUCUCUUGCUUGGUCUGCAGACUGGAUACACAAAGUACUGCUGUUUUCUCUGUGAAUGGGAUAGUCGUGCAAGAGAUUCCCACUACAUCAAGAAAGAUUGGCCACUCCGACAGUCAUUGGAGCCUGGGAGGAAAAGUGUUCACCAUCCACCAUUUGUUGAAUCAAGGAAGAUUUUGUUACCACCCUUACACAUCAAGCUGGGUCUGAUGAAGAACUUUGUCAAGGCCAUUGACAAAACACAAGCAGCUUUCAAGUACCUCCGUGGAAAAUUUCCAAGGUUAAGUGAAGCUAAGAUAAAGGAAGGUGUCUUUGUUGGUCCUCAGAUUCGUGAACUUCGAGAUGAUGCAUUUGACCAUGCACUGCGUGGCAAGGAAAAGAUGGCAUGGAAAGCCUUCCAGUUAGUGGCAAUAAAUUCUCUCAGAAACAACAAGGCAGACAACUACAGGUUGUUGGUGGAAAAUCUCCUCAAGGCAUACAAAAGCCUUGGUUGCAACAUGUCACUAAAGAUACAUUUUUUGCACUCUCAUCUAGAUUUUUUUCCACCAAACUGCGGAGCAGUGAGCGAUGAGCACGGCGAGCGAUUUCACCAGGACAUUGCAACAAUGGAGAAACGCUAUCAGGGCAAAUGGAGCCCAUCAAUGCUUGCAGACUAUUGCUGGACAGUGACAAGAGAUGCUCCAUUUAAUGAAUACAAGAGACAAGCCAAGAAGCGCUGAGUAGACACUGAAUAGGACUAAACUAUGUACAGAAUAGUUUUUUGCCUUUUGUUUCAUAAUACAUUUUAUUUAUAUAACCCUUUUGCUGAUUUUUAAAGUGUUACAUAAACAGGACAGGUGAAAUAUUAUCAUGUAAAGCAACCAUAAACACAUGAAAAGACCUAGGUUUACAAUUUAUGAUUAA
This 1065-nucleotide long non-coding RNA is filed under the name Chrysemys picta bellii (western painted turtle). RNAcentral describes it as "lncRNA (ENSCPBG00000003153.1)". The record is from RNAcentral. Lineage: Eukaryota; Metazoa; Chordata; Testudines; Emydidae.